This 1147-nucleotide long non-coding RNA is filed under the name Salmo salar (Atlantic salmon). Its description in RNAcentral is "lncRNA (ENSSSAG00000097419.1)". The record is from RNAcentral. Lineage: Eukaryota; Metazoa; Chordata; Actinopteri; Salmoniformes; Salmonidae.
GUAAGGCUGACUACUCUACUGUAAUACACCAUACAGUAAGACUUGCUACUCUACUGUAAUACACCAUACAGUAAGGCUGGCUACUCUACUGUAAUACACCAUACAGUAAGACUUGCUACUCUACUAUAAUACACCAUACAGUAAGACUGGCUACUCUACUGUAAUACACCAUACAGUAAGACUGGCUACUCUACUGUAAACACACAGUCCAGUUCAUAGUGAAUGAUGGCAGGCCCUACUGCCUGUAAACACACAGUCCAGUUCAUAGUGAAUGAUGACAGGUCCUACUGCCUGUAAACACACAGUCCAGUUCAUAGUGAAUGAUGGCAGGUCCUACUGCCUGUAAACACACAGUCCAGUUCAUAGUGAAUGAUGGCAGGUCCUACUGCCUGUAAACACAGUCCAGUUCAUAGUGAAUUAUGACAGGCCCUACUGCCUGUAAACACACAGUCCAGUUCAUAGUGAAUUAUGACAGGCCCUACUGCCUGUAAACACACAGUCCAGUUCAUAGUGAAUGAUGGCAGGUCCUACUGCCUGUAAACACACAGUCCAGUUCAUAGUGAAUGAUGGCAGGUCCUACUGCCUGUAAACACACAGUCCAGUUCAUAGUGAAUGAUAACAGGUCCUACUGCCUGUAAACACAGUCCAGUUCAUAGUGAAUGAUGACAGGUCCUACUGUAAACACACAGUCCAGUUCAUAGUGAAUGAUGGCAGGUCCUACUGUAAACACACAGUCCAGUUCAUAGUGAAUGAUGGCAGGUCCUACUGCCUGUAAACACACAGUCCAGUUCAUAGUGAAUGAUGACAGGCUUGUGUGGCAUAUGGCUAAUUUGCAUAUAGACCUACUGUAGCUCUGAUUGGCUAUGAACCACCGGUCUGCAGUAGACUCCGGUCCUGGACGAGACAGAUAUUUUUAUUAAGGUUUAUUUACUGCAGUGUCUUAAUUGUCCAAACGCACGACCACUUUCUCACUCUACAUUCACAAAACCUUACUCUACGUCAUUCCCAAACACUCUAUGAAUUUAUGAAAAGGUUAAAAUGACCAUAUCUAAGUGCUCGCUUGACAGAAAAUAUUAAAAACAGGUGUCGUAGUCUUCCUGGGGUUGUACACGAACACAUUUUAAUAAGAUUUCAUGUAGGAGAGAAG